This 275-nucleotide unclassified non-coding RNA is filed under the name Absidia cylindrospora. RNAcentral's name for it is "sequence contains 5.8S rRNA gene". Lineage: Eukaryota; Fungi; Mucoromycota; Mucoromycetes; Mucorales; Cunninghamellaceae. The record is from RNAcentral.
GAACGCAUCUUGCACCCCUGGGUAUUCCUGGGGGUACGCCUGUUUCAGUAUCAUUUAUACUUCUCUCCCCCGAAAGGGUGUGCUGGGAAAAAUCACUACUGGCCCCCGAGGAUAUUUUCUCUGGCGGCUUAAAUGCUCUGGCAUCCCUCUUUAGAGUUGCUUCUUACCCUUUGGUAGUUUAUUCUGCUAAAAGCAACGAGAAACUCUAUAGAGGUGCCCCUGCUAAAUUAUAUCUCUUGAUCUGAAAUCAGGCGGGAUUACCCGCUGAACUUAAG